Molecule: transfer RNA, 69 nt
Filed under: Dipodomys ordii (Ord's kangaroo rat)
Lineage: Eukaryota; Metazoa; Chordata; Mammalia; Rodentia; Heteromyidae
Rfam family: tRNA
About the family: Transfer RNA (tRNA) molecules are approximately 80 nucleotides in length. Their secondary structure includes four short double-helical elements and three loops (D, anti-codon, and T loops).
Source: Rfam by way of RNAcentral
GGGACUGUAGUUUAGUGAUAGAGUGCUUGCCUAGCAUGCAUGAAACCUGGGUUCGAUUCCUCAGUACCA